This 253-nucleotide ribosomal RNA is filed under the name uncultured bacterium. RNAcentral's name for it is "partial 16S ribosomal RNA". It matches the Rfam family "Bacterial small subunit ribosomal RNA", at positions 524 to 776 of the family's 1533-position model. The record is from RNAcentral.
UACGAAGGGGGCUAGCGUUGUUCGGAAUUACUGGGCGUAAAGCGCGCGCAGGCGGUCUUCCAAGUCAGUGGUGAAAGCCCGGAGCUCAACUCCGGAACUGCCAUUGAAACUGUUGGACUUGAGUACGAGAGAGGUGAGUGGAAUUCCCAGUGUAGAGGUGAAAUUCGUAGAUAUUGGGAAGAACACCGGUGGCGAAGGCGGCUCACUGGCUCGUAACUGACGCUCAGGCGCGACAGCGUGGGGAUCAAACGGG